This 378-nucleotide ribosomal RNA is filed under the name Mustela putorius furo (domestic ferret). Its description in RNAcentral is "partial 12S ribosomal RNA". The stretch from base 47 to 378 matches the Rfam family "Bacterial small subunit ribosomal RNA", at positions 875 to 1369 of the family's 1533-position model. The record is from RNAcentral. Lineage: Eukaryota; Metazoa; Chordata; Mammalia; Carnivora; Mustelidae.
GCUCAGCCCUAAACAUAAAUAAUUAUCACAACAAAAUUAUCUGCCAGAGAACUACUAGCAAUAGCUUAAAACUCAAAGGACUUGGCGGUGCUUUACAUCCCUCUAGAGGAGCCUGUUCUAUAAUCGAUAAACCCCGAUAGACCUCACCACUUCUAGCUUAAUCAGUCUAUAUACCGCCAUCUUCAGCAAACCCUUAAAGGGAAGAAAAGUAAGCACAAUAAUAUUACAUAAAAAAGUUAGGUCAAGGUGUAACCUAUGAAGUGGGAAGAAAUGGGCUACAUUUUCUAACCAAGAACACACUCACGAAAGUUUUUAUGAAAACUAAAAACUAAAGGUGGAUUUAGUAGUAAAUUAAGAAUAGAGAGCUUAAUUGAAUAG